Camelus ferus (Wild Bactrian camel) is the source of this 72-nucleotide transfer RNA. It matches the Rfam family "tRNA". From Rfam's summary of the family: Transfer RNA (tRNA) molecules are approximately 80 nucleotides in length. The record is from Rfam. Lineage: Eukaryota; Metazoa; Chordata; Mammalia; Artiodactyla; Camelidae.
GAGGGUAUGGCUUAGUGGUAGGGCACGUGCUUAGCAUGCAUGAGGUCCUGGGUUCGAUCCCCAGCACCUCCA